AAGCCGUAUCGUUGUGAGGAUGGCUUGGGUAAGGGCAGUGUGGCAAGAGAAGACAAGGCAAGAGGAAGGGACGGUGCCGGACAGCUGGGUGGACCCAAAGAACAUGUUAUUGUACUGGCCAAAUGUUGCAAAUGCAACAAGAUAUUUGAAGGAACGACGGCCACCAUCUGAUAGUUGGAGAAAGUUUCCACUUGUGAAAGAGAAGAUGAGAUCUGAUUACUUUAAAGAGUGUGACAACUGUGAACUCACAAGUAGUACAGAAGCUGAAGAAGGUUCACUGGAAGCAAAAAGAAGAAAAAUAUCGAAGAAAUUUGAAGACUGCUUGACAGAUCAUAGUUGUGACACUGAUCCACAAUUCGAAGAAGAAGAUAACCUUGGAAAUCGUCAGCUUCCUAACAGUAAUGAAGAGCUAGAACUUCCUGUUGCUCCAAGGAAGGUGUGCAAGCUCUCCAAUGCAAGCUCUACAUCUUCUGUUUCAUCCAGGGGAUCAAGCUCUGGCUCUCCAUUGCCACUUCAAAAAAAGCAGACUUCAACAGCACAGGCCCCUGUGCAAACUAAGGAGGCCACAUCAAAAAACCAGACCAGACAACAUUCUGAUGGAGAACCGUCUUCACAAGAAAUCAGACAAUCUGGGUCACCUGUUGAUCGACAGUCCAGCAGCUCCAAACAAGAUGAAAAACGCUCCCCAUACCCAAUGCAAGAAGCAAAAUUCCAGAGAAAAGUAAUGGAGAUGCUUGUUGAAAUCCGUGAAGACAUCCGCACAUUAAAAGAAAAAGUGUGGGGGGAUGCAGGAAAUGCAUACUGUCUCAAAGAUUCCUGCCCAGUCCUCAACUGUUGA
This is a long non-coding RNA of Cyprinus carpio carpio, 838 nucleotides long. NCBI's taxonomy places the organism in Eukaryota, Metazoa, Chordata, Actinopteri, Cypriniformes, Cyprinidae. The record is from Ensembl.